Molecule: ribosomal RNA, 1441 nt
Filed under: uncultured cyanobacterium
Lineage: Bacteria; Bacillati; Cyanobacteriota
Also listed under: 1 other name
Description: bacterial SSU rRNA
Rfam family: Bacterial small subunit ribosomal RNA
Source: RNAcentral
AGAGUUUGAUCCUGGCUCAGGAUGAACGCUGGCGGCGUGCUUAACACAUGCAAGUCGAACGAACCUUCGGGUUAGUGGCGGACGGGUGAGUAACGCGUGGGAAUCUGCCCUCAGGAGGGGGAUAACGGCUGGAAACGGCCGCUAAUACCCCAUAUGCCGAGAGGUGAAAUGAAUUUCGCCUGAGGAUGAGCCCGCGUCUGAUUAGCUUGUUGGUGAGGUAAUGGCUCACCAAGGCUUCGAUCAGUAGCUGGUCUGAGAGGAUGAUCAGCCACACUGGGACUGAGACACGGCCCAGACUCCUACGGGAGGCAGCAGUGGGGAAUUUUCCGCAAUGGGCGAAAGCCUGACGGAGCAACGCCGCGUGAGGGACGAAGGCCUCUGGGCUUUAAACCUCUUUUCUCAAGGAGGAAGAUAUGACGGUACUUGAGGAAUAAGCCACGCCUAAUUCCGUGCCAGCAGCGCGGUAAUACAGGAGUGGCAAGCCGUAUCCGAAAUUAUUGGCGUAAAGCGUCGCAGGCGGCCUUUCAAGUCUGCUGUUAAAACGUGGAGCUUAACUCCAUCAAGGCAGUGGAAACUGUUGGGCUUGAGUGUGGUAGGGGCAGAGGGAAUUCCCGGUGUAGCGGUGAAAUGCGUAGAUAUCGGGAAGAACACCAGUGGCGAAGGCGCUCUGCUGGGCCAUAACUGACGCUCAUGGACGAAAGCCAGGGGAGCGAAAGGGAUUAGAUACCCCUGUAGUCCUGGCCGUAAACGAUGAACACUAAGUGUCGGGGGAAUCGACCCCCCUCGGUGUCGUAGCCAACGCGUUAAGUGUUCCGCCUGGGGAGUACGCACGCAAGUGUGAAACUCAAAGGAAUUGACGGGGGCCCGCACAGCGGUGGAGUAUGUGGUUUAAUUCGAUGCACGCGAAGAACCUUACCAGGAUUUGACAUCCUGCGAACCUCUAAGAAAUUGGAGGGUGCCUUCAGGACGCAGUGACAGGUGAUGCAUGGCUGUCGUCAGCUCGUGUCGUGAGAUGUUGGGGCAAGUCCCGCAACGAGCGCAACCCACGUUUUUAGUUGCCAGCAUUUAGUUGGGCACUCUAGAGAGACCGCCGGUGAUAAACCGGAGGAAGGUGUGGACGACGUCAAGUCAUCAUGCCCCUUACAUCCUGGGCUACACACGUACUACAAUGCUACGGACAAAGGGCAGCUAACUCGCGAGGGCAAGCAAAUCCCAUAAACCGUGGCUCAGUUCAGAUCGUAGGCUGCAACUCGCCUACGUGAAGUAGGAAUCGCUAGUAAUCGCAGGUCAGCAUACUGCGGUGAAUACGUUCCCGGGCCUUGUACACACCGCCCGUCACACCAUGGAAGUUGGCCCCGCCCGAAGUCGUUACUCCAACCCUUGUGGAGGAGGACGCCGAAGGUGGGGCUAAUGACUGGGGUGAAGUCGUAACAAGGUAACC